UGACAACUCUCAUUUCCCCAAAAUUAGUGUAGAGAAGAGUAUUUGUUAUGGAGGCCAAGAACUCCCAAAAUUUAUUCAUUUCCCCUAAAUUAGUGUAGAGAAUUUUGGAUCUAUAUAUAGCAUUGUUCAUAGCAAAGAAAUUUUUGUGCUUAGUGUCAGAUCAAUUUGGUGACAGCUAGUGAGCUUGCUGGUGGUGUUUGCCCAAAAAAAGAUAUGCCAAGGUUGAAGCGGUUGUAGAAAAACCAAAAACUAGGUCCGUUGGUAUCUACAUCAUAAGGAAAAAAUUAAGUUGGAUUUGAGAGUGUCAUAGAUGAGUCUCAAGUUUCACCAAAUGAUGUUGUUGGUAAGGUGCUAGGAACAUAGCACUCUGGAAGGGUGAGAUGCUUGGGAUUAGGAGCUAUUCCUAGUAGAGUUUUUAAACAAGAUAGACCUCUUUUUGGUGGUACAAGUGCUCAGGUAGUGGAGGUUCUUGUCCAUUCCAAUGUUGAGAAAUCUUUGCUCAAAUGAUGAAUUCUCACAAUCAGAUAAUGAGUUCUUUGAAGGCAUAUAUGAUAAUGAAAGAAGGAACGAUACCAGAAUAAUUUGUGGGGCUCUUUAAUUCUCCUUCAAUGGUUUCUCCCAUAGCAGUAUCAGUAGUAGCUCACAACAUCAUGAUCAGGCAUUUCACAACUUCCAGCGAGCAGGUGAUGAAUUCUUUUUAUUCGGAGACUCAAGUCAGUUUAUAGAUUUAUUAUUUUAUUUUGAUUCAAUUGUAUUAACUAAGGAUAGUUGGGGUUGUGUCUCAGCUACCUAUAGUCAGUAUUAGUAGUGGUUUCAUAGACAG
Molecule: long non-coding RNA, 823 nt
Organism: Capsicum annuum
Lineage: Eukaryota; Viridiplantae; Streptophyta; Magnoliopsida; Solanales; Solanaceae
Exons: 4
Source: RefSeq, a predicted model, not a curated record